This 491-nucleotide ribosomal RNA is filed under the name uncultured bacterium. RNAcentral describes it as "partial 16S ribosomal RNA". It matches the Rfam family "Bacterial small subunit ribosomal RNA", at positions 29 to 507 of the family's 1533-position model. The record is from RNAcentral.
AGUGAACGCUGGCGGUAGGCCUAACACAUGCAAGUCGAACGGCAGCACAGUAAGAGCUUGCUCUUACGGGUGGCGAGUGGCGGACGAGUGAGGAAUACAUCGGAAUCUACUUUUUCGUGGGGGAUAACGUAGGGAAACUUACGCUAAUACCGCAUACGACCUACGGGUGAAAGCAGGGGAUCUUCGGACCUUGCGCGAUUGAAUGAGCCGAUGUCGGAUUAGCUAGUUGGCGGGGUAAAGGCCCACCAAGGCGACGAUCCGUAGCUGGUCUGAGAGGAUGACCAGCCAAACUGGAACUGAGACACGUUCCAGCCUCCUACGGGAGGAAGCGUUGGGGAAUAUUGAACAAUGGGGGCAAGCCUGAUCCAGCCAUACCGCGUGGUGAAGAAGGCCUUCGGGUUGUAAAGCCCUUUUGUUGGGAAAGAAAAGCAGCAGGUUAAUACCCCGCUGUUCUGACGGUACCCAAAGAAUAAGCACCGGCUAACUUCGUG